GGAGGGCAAGUCUGGUGCCAGCAGCCGCGGUAAUUCCAGCUCCAAUAGCGUAUAUUAAAGUUGUUGCGGUUAAAAAGCUCGUAGUUGGUUCUGCGUGCCGCGCUGUCGGUUCGCCGCCUGUCGGUGUAACUGGCAUGUCGCGGCAUGUCCUGUCGGUGGUGAACGGAGUCCACAAUGCUACAUAGGCUUUAGAGCCGAUGUUAGCGUUGUGUGCACUUCCGUUGGCCGAUCUCUCCUACUUCGGUGCUCUUAAACGAGUGUCGAGGUAGGCCGACACGUUCACUUUGAACAAAUUAGAGUGCUUAAAGCAGGCUGAAAUAUCUGCCUGAAUAGUGGUGCAUGGAAUGAUAAAACAGGACCUCGGUUCUAUUUUGUUGGUUUUAGGAAUAUGAGGUAAUGAUCAAUGUGGACUGGCGGGGGCAUUCGUAUUGCGACGUUAGAGGUGAAAUUCUUGGAUCGUCGCAAGACGCACUAGAGCGAAAGCAUUUGCCAAGUAUGUCUUAAUUGAUCAAGAACGAAAGUUAGAGGUUCGAAGGCGAUCAGAUACCGCCCUAGUUCUAACCAUAAACGAUGCCAGCCAGCGAUCCGCCGAUGUUCCUUUAAUGACUCGGCGGGGAGCUUCCACCCGGGAAACCAAAGCUUUUGGGUUCCGGGGGAAGUAUGGUUGCAAA
Molecule: ribosomal RNA, 671 nt
Filed under: Paratriatoma hirsuta
Lineage: Eukaryota; Metazoa; Arthropoda; Insecta; Hemiptera; Reduviidae
Description: SSU rRNA
Rfam family: Eukaryotic small subunit ribosomal RNA
Source: RNAcentral